Molecule: long non-coding RNA, 292 nt
Organism: Topomyia yanbarensis
Lineage: Eukaryota; Metazoa; Arthropoda; Insecta; Diptera; Culicidae
Exons: 3
Source: RefSeq, a predicted model, not a curated record
CUGAGUACUUCUUUUGCGUGGCCGAAAAUUUUUUUGAAAAGAAUGCAAUUGGACGUCUAAUUCCUUCUUGGUACUGAACCAGUACUGCACCUGCGGCGACUUUUGAUGCAUCGGAUUCUACGACGAACUUUAGCCUGAAAUCUGGAUUAGUCAAAACUGGUGGUGACAUUUCAAUCCAACUUAAUACUCAAUCCUAAACGGGUUGAAACUGCCUUCACUUCGCGCCAAACAACGGGAUGAAUCCCAAUUGUAUGUGAAGCAGCAAGAUUCCGUUUGCCCGGCGAGACUCAGG